AAGCACUGCUUUUGAUAUGUCUUGUCUGUAGCUUCGUGGACCAUGCAACAGUGCUAGACUAUAAGGACUUACUAUAACUGGGGCUCUUCAACUUUCAACUGAACUGCUCUUUUUAAAAAAUAGCAUAA
This is a small nucleolar RNA of Phyllostomus hastatus (greater spear-nosed bat), 128 nucleotides long. The record is from RefSeq and is a predicted model, not a curated record. Lineage: Eukaryota; Metazoa; Chordata; Mammalia; Chiroptera; Phyllostomidae.